This is a long non-coding RNA of Oncorhynchus tshawytscha (Chinook salmon), 4996 nucleotides long. NCBI's taxonomy places the organism in Eukaryota, Metazoa, Chordata, Actinopteri, Salmoniformes, Salmonidae. The record is from Ensembl.
CCACAAUUUUGGAAGUAUGCUUGGGGCCAUUGUCCAUUUGGAAGACCCAUUUGCGACCAAGCUUUAACUUCCUGACUGAUGUCUUGAGAUGAUCGCUUCAAUAUAUCCACAUAAUUUUCCUGCCUCAUGAGCCAUCUAUUUUGUGAAGUGCACCAGUCCCUCCUGCAGCAAAGCACCCCCACAACAUGAUGCUGCCACCCUCGUGCUUCACGGUUGGGAAGGUGUUCUUCGCCUUGCAAGCCUCCCCCUUUCCCCUCCAAACAUAACAAUGGCCAUUAUGGCCAAACAGUUCUAUAUUUGUUUCAUCAGACCAGAGGACAUGUCUCCAAAAAGUACGAUCUUUGUCCCCAUGUGCAGUUGCAAACCGUAGUCUGGCUUUAUUAUGGCGGUUUUGGAGCAGUGGCUUCUUCCUUGCUGAGCGGCCUUUCAGGUUGUGUCGAUAUAGGACUCGUUUUACUGUGGAUAUAGGUACUUUUGUACCUGUUUCCUCCAGCAUCUUCACAAGGUCCUUUGCUGUUGUUCUGGGACUGAUUUGCACUUUUCGCACCAAAGUACGUUCAUCUCUAGGAGACAGAACGCAUCUCCAUGGUGUUUAUACCUGCGUACUAUUGUUUGUACAGAUAAACGUGGUACAUUCUGCCGUUUGGAAAUUGCUCCCAAGGAUGAACCAGACUUGUGGAGGUCUACAGUUUUUUUCUGAGGUCUCGGCUGAUUUCUUUUGAUUUUCCCAUGAUAUCAAGCAAAGAGGCACUGAGUUUGUAGGCCUUGAAAUACAUCCACAGGUUCACCUCCAAUUGACUCAAAUAAUGUCAAUUAGCCUAUCAGAAGCUUCUAAAGCCAUGACAUAAUUUUCUGGAAUUUUCCAAGCUGUUUAAGGCACAGUCAACACUGUACCACUGGAAUUGUGAUACAGUGAAUUAUAAGUGAAAUAAUCUGUCUGUAAACAAUUGUUGGAAAAAUUACUUGUGUCAUGCACAAAGUAGAUGUCCUAACCGACUUGCCAAAACUAUAGUUUGUAAACAAGAAAUUUGUGGAGUGGUUGAAAACGAGUUUUAACUUGACUCCAACCUAAGUGUAUGUAAACUUCCGACUUCAACUGUAUGUGCCAAAUGUCCCCUCCCCUUUUGAAAUUGAAAAGAUACGAGCACCUGCGAUAUCGUCCAAAUGAUCAGUGACGAAACAUCCGCAUCACGGAACAAAGUUCCUCGUUAGUUUUCGGAUCCCACAGCCUGUUGACAGAUGAUAUCAGUGAUAUUACAUGUUUCUGUCCACGAGAGAUUAGAAAUAUCAUUGUUCCCAGUUUGAGAUCUAUGACGAUGGUUUACCCUGUCCUAAUCUGAACUGGGGAGAGGGACUGGGGACCUGUGAUGUCAUCUUUGUCCCAAAUGGCACCCUAUUCCCUAUGUAGUACACUACUUUUGACCAAAGCCCUCUCUGGUCAAAAGUAGGGAGCUAUAUAUAGAAUAGUGUGCCAUUUUGCGACAUACCCAGAGUCUCUUGUUAUCUUGUCUCUUCCUAGUGACUUGGUUCACAUAGGUGGUACAGAUGUACAAGCCAUCUGACACUUCAGUUGUGACACAAACAAUACUUUUUUACCAUUUUUAUGUUGAGUUUGUAUGCAUUUUUUUGUCUCCACAAAAAAAGUGCAGCUAAAAAAUUGUGAUCUUUGUAUCAAGACUGUGUGUUAAAUGUAUUUUACCACCUGGGUGAACCUGGCCUAUAAGGUCAAUGUAUCAUUUUUAAUUGGUCCACCUAUCCAUUGUUCUUGGCAGUAACCUCCAGUAUAGUGAUUGACAUUGUAUUCUAUAGCUAUCUCUGUCACUAUCUCCUCUUAUUGACCCGUAUGGUCAAAUGGAACACAAGCAAAUCUAUUUGCACACGUCUUCAUGAAGACACCAUUUAAUUAAGUUCAGAAAUCGUACAUGUACAAAAACAUCAGUUAAGCCGGCCAGAGCUAACUGCUGCCGGUGGGGUGGUUUGCUUUGCUGUUUUACAUGAGAGCAUGUGGACUUGAUUGUGUGCAUGAGGGUAGUGUUUUGGGAUCUUGGAGCCUUAGGUGGGCCAAGGAGAAGAAGAAGCAUCAGUAGAGUUUACAGUCUCUGGAGGACCAAGGAGAAGAAGGAGCAUCAACAGAGUUUAAAGUCUCUGGGGAACCAAGGAGAAGAAGGAGCAUCAACAGAGUUUACAGUCUCUGGGGAACCAAGGAGAAGAAGGAGCAUCAACAGAGUUUACAGUCUCUGGGGAACCAAGGAGAAGAAGGAGCACCAACAGAGUUUACAGUCUCUGGGGAACCAAGGAGAAGAAGGAGCAUCAAUAGAGUUGACAGUCUCUGGAGGACCAAGGAGAAGAAGAAGCAUCAACAGAGUUUACAGUCUCUGGAGGACCAAGGAGAAGAAGGAGCAUCAACAGAGUUUACAGUCUCUGGGGAACCAAGGAGAAGAAGAAGCAUCAACAGAGUUUACAGUCUCUGGAGGACCAAGGAGAAGAACACGACCCGACCAGGACCUCCAUAAUGUGGUCCAGUUCUGUCAGGUCCAUGUUGAAAGGUUGGCUGGGCAUGACUGAGGGGCGGCAGGGGUCGUGCAGGGGUCAAAGUCAUACAUGGAGGUGUCGAUGUCUGCAAACAGGAUCUCAUCCAAUGCCAGGUCAGUGAAGAAACCUGAGGAGGAAGAGGAGGAGAAGGAAGGGGAGGAGUUUAAAUCCAAGCCACUAGGAGGAGAAAGAGGAAGGGGAGGAGGAAGAGUGUCUAUCAGUCUGGACUCUAUACUCCUGCUGUCAAGUAAGGACACCGGCCCGUCUAGUGUGGGGCUGCCUGUCCUGAUGCAGUCUUUGAAUUGGCCUUUGGCUGUGGUUGUUAUUGUGGCUGUUACUGUGGCUGUGGUUGUUACUGUUGUGGAGAGGAGGGGGGCUCGGGGGCAGUUGGCAUGGGGUCUGAAGGGGUUCUGCUGAGGCUGUGGGGAAGGUAGUAGUCUUAAUAGUAUUAGCUGCUGUUGUUGUUCUGGUUAUUAUUGUCUGUGGUGUGGCUGAGAGAGGACAGUGCUGCUCUAUGUCACCCAGGGUAGGGCACAAAGUGUCUCUGCAGCAGGCAGACACAGGUACCCUGGAGAGGGUAGAGGUUUUCUGUGGUGGGCGAGGGGCAUAGGGGGAGGACGAAGAGGAGGAAGAGACUUAGGCGGGGGCAAAGUGCAAAAGGAGGCGUCGUCUCCGUCUUCCUCCAAUAGCAAGGUGGGCGUGAUGCAGACCUCCAGAGAGACAGGCCACCGGAUGACAACCACACCAAUGACGGACAGGUGGGCGGAGGGGGGAGUGGCGAGGGCAGAGGGGCUGACUCCAAGAGCCACCCUGAAGGCUGCUGGGAAAGGGACGGGGUGGCGGUAGCACGCCGCCGAAUGUGGGCGGGGGCCUCACAGAAGUCCUCGUCCAUGGGAUCAUCUGCGAGGGGGCAGGAGGAGAGCUGGACGGCGCAGCGAGCCCUCCUGUUUUAGCUCUUCCUAGAUGCAGGACAGCAUGUUGUUGAUGAGAACACGUCUCUCCAGGCUCGCUCAGAAGCCAGUGGUUAUAAAGCUUCAUUAGAGAGAUGUUGAAGAUGCUCUGUCUCUGGAGGUUGUACGACACCUUGGAGGGAAUAGAGACGUAACAAGUUACUACCAAGGUCUGGUGGAUAUUUAAAACUGUAUUAUGGGACAUAUUCACACUGAGAUAAGUUGACUUAAUGUGAAUUUGAGUAAAACAUAAUUGACUGAAGUCCAUGUUUAAAUGAUUAAAUUCCAUCUCAGGUCUGAACCCUAAAUGAAUAAGAACUUCAGUAUAUUAUAAAUAUAAUGUAUUUUAUUGUGUAUGUGAGGAGAAAAAUAAUACUUACGACAAUUAGGAUAAAGGCAUACUGUAUAAAUGGUUCAAGAAAAGAAAUGAACAAGAUCUUUAAAUAUUGUAGGCCAUCUUGGAGAAACCUAGGCUGAGGCCGUAGGGGUCGGGAGUCGUUGUAGUGGUCAUGGGCCUCUGUGGCGCCAUCGCUUUGUCUUCCAACACAUCUUCAUCCUCGUCCAGUUUCCGCUUUAAAAAGUUCCCUUUUACCAAACAUAUAUCUGCAACAACAACAACACACAAGUAUUACUAAAAGUCUAAUAUGAUGGUGAUGAUGAUGAUGACAAUGGCGCCGACAGAGAGGAUCGCCUCGCUUCUAGUUCUUAGGAAACUUUGCAGUAUUUAGUUUUUUUAUGUAUUAUUUCUUACAUUGUUAACCCAGAAAAUAUUAUGUGUUAUUACAUAAAGCUGGGAAGAACUAUUGGAUAUCAGAGCGGCGGUAACUCACUAUCACUACCAGCAUUACGACCAGAAAUACGACUUUGUUCACCACCACCCAGGGCAAUUGAACUGAUUCCAGAGGCUGACCCAAAACAAUGCCGGCGGAGAAGAGGAAGUCAGAGCGGUCUUCUAGUCAGACUUAGGAGGCACGCACACCACCCACCACUUCCGACUAUAUUACUUGCUAAUGUUCAGUCCCUGGAUAACAAGGUUGGCGAGAUCAGGGCAAGGGUUUCUUACCAGAGAGACAUCAUGGAUUGUAACAUACUCUGUUUCACAGAAACAUGGCUCUCUCGGGAUAUACUGUCGGAGUCGGUCAGCAACCACCUGCAACCACAGGGCUCUCCAGAGGGUGGUGUGGUCUGCACAACGCAGCACCAGGGGCAAACUACAGUCCCUCUAGGACACCUACAGCACCCGAUGUCUCAGGAAGGCCAAAAAGAUCAGCAAGGACAACAACCACCCGAGCCACUGCUUGUUCACCCCGCUACCAUGCAGAAGGCGAGGUCAGCACAGGUGCAUCAAAUCAGGGAUCGAGGGACUGAAAAACAGCUUCUAUCUCAAGGCCAUCAGACUGAUAAAUAGCCAUCACUAGCACAGAGGCUGCUGCCUACAUACACAGACUUGAAUUCAUUGACCACUUGAAUAAAUGGAUCACUAGUCACUUUUAUAAUGUCACUUUAAUAAUGUU